This 1473-nucleotide ribosomal RNA is filed under the name metagenome. RNAcentral's name for it is "bacterial SSU rRNA". It matches the Rfam family "Bacterial small subunit ribosomal RNA". The record is from RNAcentral.
AGAGUUUGAUCCUGGCUCAGGACGAACGCUGGCGGCGUGCCUAACACAUGCAAGUCGAACGGGGUGAGGCCCUUCGGGACCUUACCUAGUGGCGAACGGGUGAGUAACGCGUGAGGAACCUGCCUUUCAGUGGGGGACAACAGUUGGAAACGACUGCUAAUACCGCAUGAAGCUUUUGGGAGACAUCUCCUGGAAGCCAAAGCUUAAUGUGCUGAAAGAUGGCCUCGCGUCUGAUUAGCUAGUUGGUGGGGUAACGGCCCACCAAGGCGACGAUCAGUAGCCGGUCUGAGAGGAUGAACGGCCACAUUGGGACUGAGAUACGGCCCAGACUCCUACGGGAGGCAGCAGUGGGGAAUAUUGGGCAAUGGGCGAAAGCCUGACCCAGCAACGCUGCGUGAAGGAAGAAGGCCUUCGGGUUGUAAACUUCUUUUACCAGGGACGAAGGACGUGACGGUACCUGGAGAAAAAGCAACGGCUAGCUACGUGCCAGCAGCCGCGGUAAUACGUAGGUUGCAAGCGUUGUCCGAAUUUACUGGGUGUAAAGGGCGUGUAGGCGGAGAUGCAAGUUAGGAGUGAAAUCUAUGGGCUCAACCCAUAAACUGCUUCUAAAACUGUAUCCCUUGAGUAUCGGAGAGGCAAGCGGAAUUCCUAGUGUAGCGGUGAAAUGCGUAGAUAUUAGGAGGAACACCAGUGGCGAAGGCGGCUUGCUGGACGACAACUGACGCUGAGGCGCGAAAGCGUGGGGAGCAAACAGGAUUAGAUACCCUGGUAGUCCACGCUGUAAACGAUGAAUACUAGGUGUGGGGGGACUGACCCCCUCCGUGCCGCAGUUAACACAAUAAGUAUUCCACCUGGGGAGUACGACCGCAAGGUUGAAACUCAAAGGAAUUGACGGGGGCCCGCACAAGCAGUGGAUUAUGUGGUUUAAUUCGACGCAACGCGAAGAACCUUACCAGGACUUGACAUCCAACUAACGAAGUAGAGAUACAUCAGGUGCCCUUCGGGGAAAGUUGAGACAGGUGGUGCAUGGUUGUCGUCGGCUCGUGUCGUGAGAUGUUGGGUUAAGUCCCGCAACGAGCGCAACCCCUAUUGUUAGUUGCUACGAAAGAGCACUCUAGCGAGACUGCCGUUGACAAAACGGAGGAAGGCGGGGACGACGUCAAAUCAUCAUGCCCCUUAUGUCCUGGGCUACACACGUAAUACAAUGGUGGCCAACAGAGGGAAGCGAAGCCGUGAGGCAGAGCAAAUCCCUAAAAGCCAUCUCAGUUCGGAUUGCAGGCUGCAACUCGCCUGCAUGAAGCUGGAAUUGCUAGUAAUCGCGGAUCAGCAUGCCGCGGUGAAUACGUUCCCGGGCCUUGUACACACCGCCCGUCACACCAUGAGAGUCGGGAACACCCGAAGUCCGUAGUCUAACCGCAGGGGGGGCGCGGCCGAAGGUGGGUCCGGUAAUUGGGGUGAAGUCGUAACAAGGUA